AGAUUGAACGCUGGCGGCACGCCUAACACAUGCAAGUCGAGCGGCAGCGAGAUGGGUAGCAAUACUCAUUGUCGGCGAGCGGCGGACGGGUGAGGAAGACGUAGGAACUUGCCUUUUAGAGGGGGACAACCAAGGGAAACUUUGGCUAAUACCGCGUAAUCUCGAAAGAGGAAAGCUGCCCGCAAGGGUGGCGCUAAAAGAGAGGCCUGCGUCCGAUUAGCUAGUUGGUGAGGUAAAAGCUCACCAAGGCGAUGAUCGGUAACUGGUCUGAGAGGACGACCAGUCACACUGGGACUGAGACACGGCCCAGACUCCUACGGGAGGCAGCAGUGGGAAUAUUGGACAGUGGGGGCAA
Molecule: ribosomal RNA, 355 nt
Filed under: uncultured soil bacterium
Lineage: Bacteria
Description: bacterial SSU rRNA
Rfam family: Bacterial small subunit ribosomal RNA
Source: RNAcentral